CUCAAUUUGAAAAUUUCUCUCCCUCCAAAAACACCCCCAAAAUGAAAAUUUUUCGUGGUACAGUAGAAAAGCACAAUCUACAUCAUAUUCACUAUCAAUGUGCAAAAUUUCAAGCAAAUCGGUUCAUUAGGAGAGGCUGUAGCCCUGACAACGGAAAUUAGCUUCAUAAUUUUUCAGUGACUGAGAUGAGAAAGUAGUGGAAUAGAAGAAACAAAAUAAAAAUUUUUAGUUGAAGUGUAAAAAAGGGUCAUCUACAUGACUUACACUACCUCUAUACAAAAUUUCAAGUAAAUCCGUUCAUUUGAAGAGGCUGUAGCCCUGUCAACGGAAAGUUUCCGGUGGUUAUUUUACCGAUUUAACUACGGCGGCACCGGUGGAGGUGGUGGAGAUAAAUAUAAAAGGAGUAGAAAGCAGUUUGGGCGAAGCCCAAGGGGGGGUAUGGGGGGGACGAAGUCCCCCCCCCCUAACGAACUGAAAUAGUAAACAGUGAUAAGAAGUGUAUUCCUUCAUGAAUCGUGAUUACUGAUUUUUAGUUUAAUAAUCGUACUUAAAAGUAUUAAAAAAUGGUUGCUACUAAUAAUUUGAACGACAGAAUAAAGAACGGAGAGCUUAACUUCAGUUCCUGCGGUUUGAAAGAAAUACCUCUAAAAGAUGUCGCUAGUUUGAAACAUAUCAUGUUUGUUAAAUCUAUCUAACUACAAAAUAGCCUUGAUUCCGAGCAAGAAUCAAAGAAAAAUGACAAAAAAGCUUAAUAUUGAGGAAUCGCCACACAAACUAAACAAGAAGAUCGCAAACAGAAGUAACCUUUCAAGAUGAUGUACAGUUUUGCUCGGUUUUCACUUUUCAGUUCAUCUGAUACCUUUACUAAAUAGACAAUUGGCCAAAGUGAUCAGAGGCAAUUUGUGGAUGUACAAUAUGAACGAUGAAAUGGUCCAAUACAUUUGUCAACAAGUGAAAUCUAUCUAUUCAUACGAAGAGCUUUUAUUCCAUUUUGAACUGAGUAUUUAAUUCGUUGUGACUCACGAAUUACCUCAUCAUAGAGUUUCAGCAGUUAUCACUGCUGCUUUCGUACGAUUAUUUAUACAUCAUUAAUUCAUUAUCAGUUGGUUGUAUGCAAUAAUGCAGUGUGUAUUUUUGGACAUUUUUCAUUUUGAUUUGUGUUCGAAUAGCUAGUGCUAGAUUUCUGAUGUAGUGAUGUACAUGAUUUGUCUCAUCGUUGAUUGAGUCGACAAGUUGUAAUGCGAGUAACUACUAACUAAUUCAGCGUUGAACAAGCAUUAUUUCAAUUCUAAUAUGUACAUACAUCGAGUUGUUCAUUUUCAGACUCAUUCUGUUUUAUGUACAGUAACCAUAAUACAUGAUCUUGUACGUUUCUA
Molecule: long non-coding RNA, 1376 nt
Organism: Planococcus citri (citrus mealybug)
Lineage: Eukaryota; Metazoa; Arthropoda; Insecta; Hemiptera; Pseudococcidae
Exons: 3
Source: RefSeq, a predicted model, not a curated record